RNAcentral lists this ribosomal RNA (400 nucleotides) under uncultured bacterium. Its description in RNAcentral is "bacterial SSU rRNA". It matches the Rfam family "Bacterial small subunit ribosomal RNA", at positions 28 to 440 of the family's 1533-position model. The record is from RNAcentral.
GAUGAACGCUGGCGGCGUGCCUAACACAUGCAAGUCGAGCGAUUUACUUCGGUAAAGAGCGGCGGACGGGUGAGUAACGCGUGGGUAACCUGCCCUGUACACACGGAUAACAUACCGAAAGGUAUGCUAAUACGAGAUAAUAUACUUUUAUCUCAUGGUAGAAGUAUCAAAGCUCUGGCGGUACAGGAUGGACCCGCGUCUGAUUAGCUAGUUGGUAAGGUAACGGCUUACCAAGGCGACGAUCAGUAGCCGACCUGAGAGGGUGAUCGGCCACAUUGGAACUGAGACACGGUCCAAACUCCUACGGAGGCAGCAGUGGGGAAUAUUGCACAAUGGGCGAAAGCCUGAUGCAGCAACGCCGCGUGAGCGAUGAAGGCCUCGGUCGUAAAGCUCUGUCCUC